AGACUUGUGAGUCCCUGCUGGAGUCAGAAGUUUUAGGCGAAUCCCAGGCGCGCCAAGGAAAGUGCUACAAAAGCCAUCCAUCUUGCAAGCGUUGGUGCCGAGGCGCAACGCUGAGAACGCAAAUACUAAAGGGCGCUGUUCUUUCCUCGUGGAGCUCACAGUCCGCUGGGGAGACCGUGAGAUGACAGCAGAGAAACUAGCGCGAUCAGUAGUACUCAGCGCAAGGACAGCGAGCAGAGAAGGCAAACCUAGUGCUUGCUAAGGAAGACUUCACAGAGGAGUCACACCUUAAAAAAAAAAGGAGGGGUUAUUCCUGCUUUUGCCGUGCUGUGAUCCAGGGCAGAGCUCCAGGCUUCAUACGGUAAAACUCUCUGGGAAGGAAAGGAACUCAGAGUCCCAUGCAGAAAAUUGUUCAGCUGGAGGGGUAUCAGAAAGAUGGAUUUCCAAAGCCAACUGUUUCCUGUAGUGUGUGGAUCUCUGCAAGCAGAGCCUCAUCUUUCAAUUUCAGCUACAUGAAAGAGGAAGAAAGGGAAAGAUAUAUGUCAUACGUGAUAUACUUUAUGUGGCUUUGAAGACCCCUCUUUUGUGGGGCUACGGCUAAAGAACAUAGUUCCCUGGGAUGGAAUUGGCUCUUCCUAUUUCCCUACUUCAUGAAAACUCCAGUAGAAGACCUUAGAACCUUGUCCUGGUUACAUGGAUAUGUUUACUUUGUGAAAAUUCAUCAAGCACUAUGCACGGUCAUGAUUUGUACAUUUUUUUGUAAGAUAACUUCAUUAAAAUUUACUUUUUUUAUUUUU
This 797-nucleotide long non-coding RNA is filed under the name Homo sapiens (human). Its description in RNAcentral is "HSALNT0164312". Lineage: Eukaryota; Metazoa; Chordata; Mammalia; Primates; Hominidae. The record is from RNAcentral.